This 226-nucleotide signal recognition particle RNA is filed under the name Kallipyga massiliensis. RNAcentral describes it as "Bacterial large signal recognition particle RNA". It matches the Rfam family "Bacterial large signal recognition particle RNA", at positions 6 to 224 of the family's 256-position model. Rfam says of the family: The signal recognition particle (SRP) is a universally conserved ribonucleoprotein involved in the co-translational targeting of proteins to membranes. Archaeal SRP consists of a 7S RNA and homologues of the eukaryotic SRP19 and SRP54 proteins. In most bacteria, the SRP consists of a 4.5S RNA and the Ffh protein (a homologue of the eukaryotic SRP54 protein). Lineage: Bacteria; Bacillati; Bacillota; Tissierellia. The record is from RNAcentral.
CACUAUACGGGGAGUUAGCGGUGCCCUGAACCUGCAAUCCGCUAUAGCAGGGUAGAAUUCCCGGCCUCGGGGUUUGGUGAGCGGACGUAAGUCUUGGCAAGUGGUGUUGACUACACGGUCUCAGGCAAUGGAGAGCCAUGAACCAUGUCAGGUCCGGAAGGAAGCAGCAUUAAGUGGUCCACCUUCAUGUGUACUGAGGCAGCCGUGUACGAGCAAACUACCUGGA